UAAAAAAAUAUUUUCAUCCAAUGAUCUUGAUAUAAUAGAACACCUUAAUCCAUCAUGAGUAUGAUCAUAUAUGUAUGUUUUAUUCUCUUUGCCAAAUAGUUUUGAUAACAAAUCAAGUAAUAUGUGCAACAUACUACUAAUCAUGCUAUAUUUUUUUAUAGUUGAGGAAUUCCAUCAUGUUAUAUGUUUUUAUAGUUGAGGAAUUCCAACAUAUGAGACAUAAUUGAUGGAUGUAUAUCAGACAUAAUUGAUGGAUGUAUGCGAUAUAUCCCACCGACGUGACUAUAAGUAUUAUCUCACAAAUUAGUUAUAUAUUGUAAAUAAGUUUUGAAAAAAAAUAAAUACAUUAUCCAAAUGAUUAAAGGUGUCUCAUGUGAUUAUCAACGAUAGGUGUUGAAAAGAAACCAAACGCUAAACUAUAGAUAUUUGUUAAAAUUUAAAUAAUAAGAUAGUGCUUUGAAGAUUAUCUUGGUGGUAUGUCUUCUUAGCUAUAAUUUUUUAGUACCACCGAAUGAACCUCGGUCAUUUUUUAAAGAGAAUAUUUUGUUUAUAUCAUACUUAUUUAUGAAGUAAUAGUUAACACCAUAAAUAAAUGGUGUUUACUCUAUACCAUAAAUCUACUCGAAAAUUAAAACAAAAACACUAUUCUGAUCACAUUCAUCUUCUCUUUGUCCUUUACUGAAGGGCACCAAGCAUAGACAACAGAGUUUGCUACGCUAACAUAAGUAUAGCAAGGGCAAACAUAUGGCUAAGUUGAAGUGUGCUAGACUUACUAUUUAUCGAUGCCAUACUCCAUGAGGGUGUGGUGUGAAUUAGGCAUUAAAGUUGUGCUCGAGACUGGUAUGGAGGGGCACCACUAUAUCGAUACAAGACCCAUGUUUCAAGGAAACACACAGAAAGUAAGUUUUGCUGCUACAAUCGACUUCACCCAGCAGAGGGACAUUUAUAUUUCACUUUAACGAUUUGGAAAAUAAGUCAGACAUGAACACUUAGGUGCAGUGGAUAAUUUAGUGUAUUAAUGAUCUAUUAGACUUAUUUUAUUGGUAUAUAUAUGCAGUUUUAUCUAUUAAUAGGUACUUAGCUUCUAAACUAUGAUAAUGAGUUGAAGUGACAACCCAGACAAAGUGAUAUGGGAGACAUCCUUAUCAUUUAUAUAUAAUAAAGUCUACAGUUUGAAGUGACAACCAGGACAAAGUGAUCUUUUUUAAUAUGGGAGACAUCCUUAUCAUUUAUAUAUAUUAAAGUCUACAGUCUAUUUCACAGCGUAUAAAUGAUGCGAUAUAACUUAUAUUAACAUUUUUUUCAUUAAACUAUAAAUAAGAUAAUGAUGCGAUAUAACUUAUAUUAACAUUGUUUUCAUUAAACUAUAAAUAAGAUACCCGCGCAUCUGCGCAGACUUCCUUUCUAGUUUAGCUAAAGCUAGUAACACAUUCAUCAACAUUCACAAGAGUUUCAGCCUUCCAUGAGAAUAUAUAACUACUAGAGAACCAAUCUUUACUCGAUAGGCAAAAAUAGAAAAUAUGUCAGAUGUUUAACGAACCAGUUCUAAAGAAGGUCUUUAGCACCGGUUAAAACACACAACGACACAUCGCUAUCUUUUUUAUCGGUUGGUAACACCAACGGGUACUAAACACCAUCUUUAGUCCCGGAUCACACUUGUCAGAACAUGUCAGGCCUCCCGGGAUCUUUAGAACCGGUUUGUGGCAAUAACUGAUACUAAAGAUCACUACUUUAUUACCGGUUGGUGAUACAAACCGGUACUAAAGAUAAUUUUGAUCUUUACUACUAGUUGGUGUUACCACCAGGUACUAAAGAUCGUUGCUUUUUAUACUCUUCUUCCUUCUCCAGCCCGAGCCAUUGUUGCAAGUGAAAGAAGGAGGAAGAGAGAAGCUGCCAACUUUUUUUUUGAAAAUAUUUUGGUGAAAUUAUACGAAUCGAAGAGAUUUAAAAGGAGUUUAUUGAUGGCGUGCAUUAUUUUUUGAGUGUGGACAAUGCCUACAAGUCUAAGGGUUUUAUAUGUUGUCCAUGCACAAGGUGCAAAAACUAGAAGCAUUCUUCAUCAACAGCUCUUAAUAUCCACUUGAUGCAAUUGGGAUUCAUGCCUAGCUAUAACUGUUGGACCUUGCACGGAGAGUUAGGGGUUGCAAUAGAAGAGGAUGAAGAAGAAGACGAUAACAUUUCGGACUGGGUUCAAUACGGUGGAUUUGCAGAAAAUACAAUAGGCGUGGCGGACAGUGCUAUUGAAGAAAACAAGGGUGCGGAUGAUCUUGGUCGGAGUUGUGUGACGUAAAGAAGGACUACGAAAGUGGAAAGGAUGUCCAAAAAUUGAAGCGUAUGUUAGCGGACCACACAAAAUGUCAUUGUACCUAGAUUGCGAACAAGGGCAGAAAAAGUUGGGUACCAUGCUGAAA
Molecule: non-coding RNA, 2411 nt
Organism: Oryza sativa Japonica Group (Japanese rice)
Lineage: Eukaryota; Viridiplantae; Streptophyta; Magnoliopsida; Poales; Poaceae
Source: RefSeq, a predicted model, not a curated record